AUGAACGCUGGCGGCGUGCCUAAUACAUGCAAGUCGAGCGAACAGAUGAGGAGCUUGCUCCUCUGACGUUAGCGGCGGACGGGUGAGUAACACGUGGAUAACCUACCUAUAAGACUGGGAUAACUUCGGGAAACCGGAGCUAAUACCGGAUAAUAUAUUGAACCGCAUGGUUCAAUAGUGAAAGACGGUUUUGCUGUCACUUAUAGAUGGAUCCGCGCCGCAUUAGCUAGUUGGUAAGGUAACGGCUUACCAAGGCAACGAUGCGUAGCCGACCUGAGAGGGUGAUCGGCCACACUGGAACUGAGACACGGUCCAGACUCCUACGGGAGGCAGCAGUAGGGAAUCUUCCGCAAUGGGCGAAAGCCUGACGGAGCAACGCCGCGUGAGUGAUGAAGGUCUUCGGAUCGUAAAACUCUGUUAUUAGGGAAGAACAAAUGUGUAAGUAACUAUGCACGUCUUGACGGUACCUAAUCAAAAAGCCACGGCUAACUACGUG
Molecule: ribosomal RNA, 496 nt
Filed under: uncultured bacterium
Lineage: Bacteria
Description: partial 16S ribosomal RNA
Rfam family: Bacterial small subunit ribosomal RNA
Source: RNAcentral